AGAGUUUGAUCAUGGCUCAGGAUGAACGCUAGCGGCAGGCUUAACACAUGCAAGUCGAGGGGUAGAGUUCUUCGGAACUUGAGACCGGCGCACGGGUGCGUAACGUGUAUGCAAUCUACCUUUUACAGAGGGAUAGCCCAGAGAAAUUUGGAUUAAUACCUCAUAGUAUAUAGCCCUGGCAUCAGGAUUAUAUUAAAGUCACAACGGUAAAAGAUGAGCAUGCGUCCCAUUAGCUAGUUGGUAAGGUAACGGCUUAUCAAGGCUACGAUGGGUAGGGGUCCUGAGAGGGAGAUCCCCCACACUGGUACUGAGACACGGACCAGACUCCUACGGGAGGCAGCAGUGAGGAAUAUUGGACAAUGGGCGCAAGCCUGAUCCAGCCAUGCCGCGUGCAGGAUGACGGUCCUAUGGAUUGUAAACUGCUUUUAUACGAGAAGAAACACUCCAACGUGUUGGAGCUUGACGGUAUCGUAAGAAUAAGGAUCGGCUAACUCCGUGCCAGCAGCCGCGGUAAUACGGAGGAUCCAAGCGUUAUCCGGAAUCAUUGGGUUUAAAGGGUCCGUAGGCGGUUUAAUAAGUCAGUGGUGAAAGCCCAUCGCUCAACGGUGGAACGGCCAUUGAUACUGUUAAACUUGAAUUAUUAGGAAGUAACUAGAAUAUGUAGUGUAGCGGUGAAAUGCUUAGAGAUUACAUGGAAUACCAAUUGCGAAGGCAGGUUACUACUAAUGGAUUGACGCUGAUGGACGAAAGCGUGGGUAGCGAACAGGAUUAGAUACCCUAGUAGUCC
This 787-nucleotide ribosomal RNA is filed under the name uncultured bacterium. RNAcentral describes it as "bacterial SSU rRNA". It matches the Rfam family "Bacterial small subunit ribosomal RNA", at positions 8 to 796 of the family's 1533-position model. The record is from RNAcentral.